AAACAAAACAAAAACCUGAGUGAAGUUCCCCAUGGGGUCCUGGUAUGCAAUGGUUGCAGACAGCAGCCUCCUUUGCAGUAUAUACAGCCUGUUGCCUCUGUGGGUUGUCUUCCGGGACCUUGGAGACAAUU
Molecule: small nucleolar RNA, 131 nt
Organism: Meriones unguiculatus (Mongolian gerbil)
Lineage: Eukaryota; Metazoa; Chordata; Mammalia; Rodentia; Muridae
Gene: SNORA70
Rfam family: Small nucleolar RNA SNORA70
About the family: snoRNA U70 seems to be exclusive to mammals and is a member of the H/ACA class of snoRNA which contain H (ANANNA) and ACA box motifs.
Source: Ensembl